RNAcentral lists this unclassified non-coding RNA (193 nucleotides) under uncultured fungus. RNAcentral's name for it is "sequence contains ITS1, 5.8S rRNA gene". Lineage: Eukaryota; Fungi. The record is from RNAcentral.
UUAACUAUUAUAUAGUACUCAGACGACACUAACAUUCAGAGUUUGGGGUCCUCUGGCGGGCACGCACCAGCCGGAGCCGGUGGCCGAGGCGGCCCGCCAAAGCAACAGAAGGUAUGUAAUACACAGGGUGGGAGAUCUACCCCGAAGGGCAUGAUGCUCUGUAAUGAUCCCUCCGCAGGUUCACCUACGGAGA